ACAUCCAUAUUGAUUGUAGCUAUAGUCUGGGUGGUGUUGCUAUAAAUAGCAUUUCUUUCUUCCGAAUUUUUCAUUCUACAACUCUACUUCUUUCCUUCUUCCAUUUUGUUUCUUAUUUUUCUUUUGGGGGACAUUUAUGUUGUUAUGGUUUCCACAGAGGCCGUUGUAUAAGUAGUUGUGGGGUUAGUAUGAUUGAGUUGAGUGUGUUGUUCCAUAUCAACUUGUAUUUCAGAUCAGUUUUGAAAAUGAGAUUGUUUUCACCUUCUCACUCUCCAUUGUCAUGGCACAUUAGAGACAUGGGGUGGGACGGAAGAGAAUUUCAUCGAGAAUAUCCUCUUGGACGUUUAUUCCGUCUCAGAUUAAUAAUGUUUCUAUAAUCCAAACUGCAUAUGACGCACGAAAAACUUAAAUGUGGAAAAAGAAGCAUUAUUAAUUUUUCCUUUCCUGUACUAACUCUUCUCGUCAGCAGGAAUGAUCUGCCUUAAAUUUUGCAUAAUUUGUGCACGGAA
This is a long non-coding RNA of Medicago truncatula (barrel medic), 509 nucleotides long. RefSeq lists it as uncharacterized. Lineage: Eukaryota; Viridiplantae; Streptophyta; Magnoliopsida; Fabales; Fabaceae. The transcript is spliced from 2 exons. The record is from RefSeq and is a predicted model, not a curated record.